CACAGCCUGCCUCCUCUAAAAGACAGAAAUAGAGGAUGUGACUGUUUCUACAGUAUUUCUAAAAGACUUUUUUUCCCCUUACGAUAUAAAGGCAUUUAUUUGUUUCUAUUGUCUUGAUUUACCAGAUAAUGUGCACUUCCUAAUGUGUGUGGAACAAGAAUAGAGCAAUGAAUGACAGUUAGCAAUGGAUUCUGUUUGGAAAGCUUCUAUCUUGUUAUUUUUAUUAAUUCAACAGUAUAAAUGAUCAGACCACAUCACAAAACAAACACAGCAAGAUACUUCUGUCCUCCACAGCAGGAUGGCUUCUGAUCAUUGCACAAAGCAGAGUCCUCCAUUGCAGGGCUGGGUUUGUACACCCACAGUCCUUCCUGGGUCCUGCCUUCAGGGCCCUGGUGCUACUGGAGUGCUGAGGGGCAGAAAUAGGAUCCUCUGGAUUGUUUUGAACAGAGAAAAGUGCAGCAAAGGAUGGCAAAGGCAAGAGAAGUGUCUGAAGGCUUCUCAGCAGUGCAGUCAAACCUCCAUGUUUUACUUAUGGACUGCUAUCACCUGGCAGCUGAGCCAAAUCCAAAAGACUGCUGGUAUCAAAAUGAUACUUCUGCUUCCAGCCCUGCUGCUUUCAUUGUACAGGUCUGGUGCUUGUCUGCCUCUUUAAUGAGCUCAUGCAGCUCAGUAAACUGCAAGAAAAUAAAUUCAGUAAAAAAUAUACCAGCCCAGGAAAUGAGAAGAAUUGGACACUGUGAGAAUGGAGACUGGAACUGCAAUGAGUGAGAGAAGUGGGGCUUCCCUCCAAAGGGCACAGGAUGAACACGGCCUGACCCAGGGAGGGUGACUGGAUGGGUGAAGGAAGGUCACCCAGCAGCACCAACCCACACAGCAGAGAAAGGACUGAAUGGAACUGCAGGAGACCAGGAAGAUGUUGGCAUGGGUAAGAGUCCUGGAAGAUGUUGGCAUGGGUAAGAGUCCUGGAAGAUGUUGGCAUGGGUAAGAGUCCUGGAAGACGAACCAAGGAGGAAAGAGGACAUGUGCAGAGUAACCACAGAAGGUUGCUGCAACAAGCACUGGAAAAAUUCUUGAAUACAAGAUGAUGGUCCCAUCCUAGCUCUUAAAGGAUUUAUUCUUAUGUAUCCAUGUGGCUGUCCCUGAAGGUGGGAUCUUGCUUAUAUCCCUUAUUUAGACAUACAUUUCUCUAAAUUGGGAUUUGAUAAAAGGACAGCUGCUGCAUUUUCUUAUCUGUGAUAAGCAGCAGUAAAAGCUGUUCAGAGUUCAUGAUGGAAAUGUAUCCAUAUAUUGGCAUUUAUCCAACUGCACUUCACAAAGGUAAGUGGGACAGGAGAGUGGUGCACAGCCCCUUUUUAAUCCAUUUUUUCUAGACAGGGGUACUUUGCCUCUCUGCAGGAAAGGCCAGCACAGCUCCUGUGCUAAUAAACACUCAUUUCUCACUGCAGCAUAUGCGCUUCCAGACUCAUAAAUCCAAGCAACUUGUAGUUGAAUAACAAUUAAAUAUCCACGUGAAUUUCCAUACCACGGUCUGGUGCACAAGGCAUAGGCUAAGUGGCUGCACAUCUGUUGUCUGCUCCCCCACACGUACUGUUGUCAGAGAAUAAUCACUUAAUCUUACCCUGCUGCCGUUAAUGGUACAUGUAAAAUUGGAUGCAGAGCAUCAUCCUGCAGAUAUUUUGCCAUAUCCUUCAAAAAGAACGGUGUUCUUUUUCUUUUUUUUGUUUUUUAGAGCAGUAGGAUUUCCAGGCCAGGGAUUCAGUUUGGCUGUUAACAUAAGUGGGAAAUGAGACAUCAUAUUGAAAAGUUAAUUGAGAUGCAGGAUGCUGUUGGAUCUCAAAACAAUUUUGUGUCACUUUUACAAAACCCAGAGACUCAGUAAUGCAGUUAAGAUAAAUGUAGUGCCUGAUUACAAUGGAUGUGUUGCACUUACAAAAGGCAUCUCUUAUCAUGAGGCUCUUCAUAUCUGCAAUAAUAACCACCAUAUGUCAGGUAAGACAAAGAUAAUGUGAGCCAGAUAAUUUUCCGAUUGUUGAAACUUUAAAAAUCCAAAAAGCUACAAAUGUCUUAAUUAUUAAUUCAAUUUUGCUAGAUGUGGUGCUGGUAGCUGGAGGGAACUUUUUUCUGAGGUUCAAUCUUUCCCCUGGUCUAACUGAUAACAGUCUGUGUGGCAGAGUUUUAAAUGUUAUAGCCAUUUAAAGGAGUAAGAAUUGUGCAUAGUCACUCCCCAUCUUGAAUUUCCGUGCAGCAGGAUUUUAUCACAUGAAACUGCAGUUCAGAUGUUCCCAUCUUGAACAGAUAGGCCUUGUAGUUUGCUCUGAACUUGACAAGCCUUCCUCAGUGGUAAGGCUGUAAGAGGCACAAGCCUGUCUUGUGCCUCACUGUACAGUAUUGUUGUUGUACAGGUACCUAUCAAAAUGUUUAUUCCCUGUAGAAUUGACAGAAACCUUGAAUUCCCUCCCCAGCCCUCCCCCCCCCAUCAGCUGCAGACCAAGUCCCAGCUAUGAUCACAAGAACAUCCUGAAUCAGUCACAAUAAUUUGCAUUUCCUUGCCAAAGAUUUUAUCUGCUGGGUGUGCAAAUUGCAACAUCAAGGUUGCUGGUGUUGAAAAAUCUGCACCCUUCUGCUCCCCAGCUCUACCUUUUCCAGCAAGGUUAAUUUAUCCAGAAAAAUUAAUUGAGGCAACAAAGCUGUCAAGUGAGAAAAGCUACACAGGGAGACAGCACCACUGUGAACAUCUGCACGAUUUGUGUGUUUGAUUGGGUACCUCUGCACUGGCAGAUUAUUGUUGUUAGAAGCAAAUCUUACUCUUGUCAUUUUCAUACAAGACUCUGUGCUGCAAUUCUGCAGAUGUUCAUUCUCUGUGUCCCCACACUGUUUAAAAAAAUGACAAAUGAUGAUAGUAAAAAUUACAUUUGCUCAUUCAAACAUCUUGCUGUUUACAUAUAAGAAGAAUUAUGUGCUGGGGUGCAAUGACCUAAUGAGAGAUGCAACAUGGCCUUCAGGAGGAGGUGGAUGGAACCCUCAGAAUCUGCUUCUCUCACACAGAUAGUCCUCUGAUAUAUAUAAUGAAAACCUUCUUUUGUUUUUAAUGACAGAUGCCACGGAGGUUGUAUAUUUGGAAAUUAUUUUUUCUCUAGGAGUGUUUAUUAACAAAUGUUUGAAAGUUUUAUGAUGUGGUGAAAACUGUAUCUCUCGUGAUAAACAGGAAGUGCUCAGAGAUAUUGCAUUACCCUGUAAUGCAACACAGAUUCCAACAGCUUGGCUCUUUUUUUCAAAAUAUGUUGACACCACUUCCUUCAGGAAAUCACUCUUCUCUGUACUGCUUUUAUCUGCUAUAGAUAUGCAAAAUUGCAAAAGAAAAGUUUGUUUUAAAGAAUGAUGAUUCAUCAGUUUUGGACUGUAGAAAUGGAUGUCUGUAAUAUUUAAAAUAUCUAUUAAAAAUAAGCAGCACAGACUCUAUGGGCUGUCAGGUCAGUGGAUUGAACCAAGUGCAAGGAAAAUAGACUGAUACCUCCCACAGCACAGGUGCACCUUAGAAAGCAAAGAUGCAGAUUUCCCUGCAGGUACCCUGAAGUGUGUCCCAGCCAUAAAUCUGGAGAUGCCUCUUCUGCAGUCCCAUGUCAGCAAGGCCAGGACCUGCCCAGCAGAGGAGAAGAAGGAAUCCUGUUUCCAUGUGAUCUGCCAGGAAAACUCAGUAGGACAGUUUAUUUUGCGUAUGGAACCUUAUAUUCAGAGUCGCUGUGCUGCAGCCUCCAACCUGCUCCUAAAGGCUGCCACCCAGUUGUUGGGAUGUUUUAGCAAUGCUGGCUGAAUUUUAAACCCUAGUGACUUUUAGGUGAAAAUGUCAGAAUGCCAUUAGUGUACUGUCUCUUAUCACUUGUUUCUGUUCAGUCACUGCCCAUUGUUUAUACUAAAUCUAAUAAGAGCAGACAGGUAGGAUAUACCUGUGCCAUCACAGUCAUUAGUCAACAUCACAGUGUACUUGUGAUGGAUAUCACCCCAGCAGACAAUGAUGUCAGGGAAAGCAAGUCCUGGUGAGCUCUUUUUGGAAGGCCUGGCAUCAUUCUCCAAACCAGUUCUCCAUGAAGGGACUUGUGUGUCU
Molecule: long non-coding RNA, 4102 nt
Organism: Manacus vitellinus (golden-collared manakin)
Lineage: Eukaryota; Metazoa; Chordata; Aves; Passeriformes; Pipridae
Exons: 3
Source: RefSeq, a predicted model, not a curated record